AGUGAACGCUGGCGGUAGGCCUAACACAUUCAAGUCGAACGGCAGCACAGUAAGAGCUUGCUCUUACGGGUGGCGAGUGGCGGACGGGUGAGGAAUACAUCGGAAUCUAAUUUUUCGUGGGGGAUAACGUAGGGAAACUUACGCUAAUACCGCAUACGACCUACGGGUGAAAGCAGGGGAUCUUCGGACCUUGCGCGAUUGAAUGAGCCGAUGUCGGAUUAGCUAGUUGGCGGGGUAAAGGCCCACCAAGGCGACGAUCCGUAGCUGGUCUGAGAGGAUGAUCAGCCACACUGGAACCUAGACACGGUCCAGACUCCUACGGGAGGCAGCAGUGGGGAAUAUUUGACAAUGGGCGCAAGCCUUAUCCAGCCAUACCGCGUGGGUGAAGAAGGCCUUCGGGUUGUAAAGCCCUUUUGUUGGGAAAGAAAAGCAGCAGGUUAAUACCCCGCUGUUCUGACGGUACCCAAAGAAUAAGCACCGGCUAACUUCGUG
Molecule: ribosomal RNA, 492 nt
Filed under: uncultured bacterium
Lineage: Bacteria
Description: partial 16S ribosomal RNA
Rfam family: Bacterial small subunit ribosomal RNA
Source: RNAcentral